CCUCUGGCCAAGAAGAAAUCAUCAUCAUCUGCUUGGGUCCCGCCACUGCCGCCUCCUAGGCCGAAGAAGACCCAACAACGUAAGAAGAAAGAGAAGCCCCCUCUAGAGAAGUGAGGGCACGAUAUGACUCCUGAGGAAUUGAUAGCGGCCGUGCAAAAAGAAGUGGACGAUCACUUCAAGCCAUAGAAUUCUGAGCCCAAGGUACCAGUGGAUCCAGCAGCCAAGAAAUUUUUUCUUGGAAUCAUGUGCCAACCAAAGGAGAAAGAACGCUUAUCGGACUAUGACCGCUCAAUCACAAAAUCAUGGGAGAAGAAGGGUAAUCGUCGGUACAACCAAGUUCCCUAGCUCAGAGAACAGCUCAACCAAUCGAUACUCCCUUUCAAGGUUCUUUCAAAAGAGGAUAAAGCUAUUGCAGAGUUUGUGGUGGAAACAGGCCUCACAAAAGAUCAGCUCCUUGGGAAAGACAAAGGCCCGAUUCACGAAGGGUCAGGCAGAAAACCAUUUAAACUGGGGGAACCUCUAAUGUGGCCAGAGUUAAUUGACAUGCUACCAACAAGAAUGCAUCGGUUUCAUCAAUGGUACAUGAAAUAUUCUGCAGCGGGGAAUAUAAUGUUCGCUGCUCGAAUUAAACAUAGCCAUUUCUAUCGGGGGAUGGAUGACGUAUGGAUCGAGCUAGAGAAUCUUUGGGAUCUAUACCAUCAAGACGCCCUAGACAAGUCCAUCAUCAGUGUAUUUGCUAUGAUGAAGAUACGAGAAUGCUGAAAAAAGGCAUCUACAACAUUGGCUUCAUGGACCCGUAUGUCAUGCAUGAGGAGAGCGUACGUAAAUGGCCAAAUAAAACACAGAAUAACAUAUUCAUGGCCUUGGAUGGGUAGCACCAUUGUACAUUCAUUUUGUUGCCAUAUAACUUCGAGUGAGUCCUUUGACCUUUUUUAAUCACUUCAUUUUGUCGUACCACUUGAUGACUUGAGUCCUUUAACCUUUUUUCAUCACAUCAAUUUCAACAGCUUCCACUGGAUCUUGCUCUAUAUCGAGAUCGAUCGGGCUUGAGUUGUGGUGUUCAACUCUCUGAGGAAGCCACAAGAAAAAUAUCAAGAUCUCAUAGACAUCCUGCAAAAGGCAUGGGCUCGGUUCGUCAAACAACACAUGGGAGUCGUCACGUCAACUCCAUAUGAUCUUCAUAUCAAACUUGACUUUCCGUGUUUGAAACAGAAGCAAGGAACCAACCUAUGUGGCUACUAUGUAUGUGAGCACAUGCAUUAUUUUUGCCAAUGGAUGACACAACAAGCAUUCGAUAUUUGGAGUAUGGCAGAGAGCCUUAUCGAACCGGUAAGAAUCCGGGCAAUUCAAGAAUCAAUCUGUGGAUUCAUGCUCAAUGAGGUGAUAAAUCCAAAAGGUAAAUUUUAUUCGAAUCAAAUGAUAAGCGUGGCCCAAGUUGAUCCAAAGAGGCGCGGCAACAUCGAUGAC
This is a long non-coding RNA of Panicum virgatum (switchgrass), 1467 nucleotides long. RefSeq lists it as uncharacterized. NCBI's taxonomy places the organism in Eukaryota, Viridiplantae, Streptophyta, Magnoliopsida, Poales, Poaceae. The record is from RefSeq and is a predicted model, not a curated record. The transcript has 4 exons.